Molecule: transfer RNA, 73 nt
Filed under: Cavia porcellus (domestic guinea pig)
Lineage: Eukaryota; Metazoa; Chordata; Mammalia; Rodentia; Caviidae
Rfam family: tRNA
About the family: Transfer RNA (tRNA) molecules are approximately 80 nucleotides in length.
Source: Rfam by way of RNAcentral
GGAGAUAUAGCUCAGUGACAUAAGCACCUGCCUGGCAAGCACAAGGUCCUGAGUUCGAUUCCCAGUAUCCCUC